UACGGAGGGUGCGAGCGUUGUCCGGAUUUAUUGGGUUUAAAGGGUGCGCAGGUGGCCCGGUCAGUCAGUGGUGAAAUGCGGCCGCUCAACGGUCGAACUGCCAUUGAUACUGCCGGGCUUGAGGGGGGUGGAGGCCGCCGGAACGGACGGUGUAGCGGUGAAAUGCAUAGAGAUCGGCCAGAACGCCGAUUGCGAAGGCAGGUGGCUGCGCUUCGACUGACACUGAGGCACGAAAGCGUGGGGAGCGAACAGG
RNAcentral lists this ribosomal RNA (253 nucleotides) under uncultured bacterium. Its description in RNAcentral is "partial 16S ribosomal RNA". It matches the Rfam family "Bacterial small subunit ribosomal RNA", at positions 524 to 776 of the family's 1533-position model. The record is from RNAcentral.